AUUGAACGCUGGCGGCAUGCUUUACACAUGCAAGUCGAACGGCAGCGCGGGGCAACCUGGCGGCGAGUGGCGAACGGGUGAGUAAUAUAUCGGAACGUACCCAGAAGUGGGGGAUAACGUAGCGAAAGUUACGCUAAUACCGCAUACGAUCUAAGGAUGAAAGUGGGGGACCUUCGGGCCUCAUGCUUUUGGAGCGGCCGAUAUCUGAUUAGCUAGUUGGUGAGGUAAAGGCUCACCAAGGCGACGAUCAGUAGCUGGUCUGAGAGGACGACCAGCCACACUGGAACUGAGACACGGUCCAGACUCCUACGGGAGGCAGCAGUGGGGAAUUUUGGACAAUGGGCGCAAGCCUGAUCCAGCAAUGCCGCGUGAGUGAAGAAGGCCUUCGGGUUGUAAAGCUCUUUUGUCAGGGAAGAAACGGCUUGGGCUAAUAUCCUGAGCUAAUGACGGUACCUGAAGAAUAAGCACCGGCUAACUACGUGCCAGCAGCCGCCGUAA
RNAcentral lists this ribosomal RNA (498 nucleotides) under uncultured bacterium. Its description in RNAcentral is "partial 16S ribosomal RNA". It matches the Rfam family "Bacterial small subunit ribosomal RNA", at positions 30 to 523 of the family's 1533-position model. The record is from RNAcentral.